Molecule: ribosomal RNA, 338 nt
Filed under: Amblyomma tenellum
Lineage: Eukaryota; Metazoa; Arthropoda; Arachnida; Ixodida; Ixodidae
Description: partial 12S small subunit ribosomal RNA
Source: RNAcentral
ACUAUUAGGAAAUUUUUAUUGUUAGUAAAUAAAUAAUACGAAAACAAAAAAUUAUGGCGGUAUCUUAAGCUUUUCAGAGGAAUUUGCUCUUUAAUGGAUAAAACGCCUUUAAUCUUACUAAAAUUGGCAAUUUCAGUUUGUAUACCACUAUAAAAGUAAUAAUUUAUUAUUAUUGCUUUAAUUUUAAAGUAAAAAGAAAAUUAAGUCAAGGUGCAGCAAAAAUUUUAGAAUGAAGUGAAUUACAGUGCUUUUUAGAAAAAGAAAAUGAAACUUAAUUUAGGAUUUGAAAGUAAAAAUUUAAUAAAAUGAUUUUUUGAAUGAAGUUCUGAGAUAUGUAC